ACAUUGUAACAAAGGGAUCCUAUUUAUAUGACAUAUUUAGGGGACAAGAAAACAUACACAAUAAUGGACAUUCAUUACAUAUUAUUAUUCAUAACACUCCCCCUUGAAUGUCCAUUAAGGAUAUGUCUCGUUAAAACCUUACUAGAGAAAAAACCAUUAGAAAAAAAAUCCUAGUGAAGGAAAAAGAGUACAUAUUAUUCUUUAUAUGUGAACUGCCUCGUUAAAAACCUUACCAGAAAAACCCAGUGGGACAAAACCACGGUGAAGGGAAAAAGAGUGCAUAACAUAUAUAUUUAUGUCUCCCCUCAUAAAAACAGUUAUAUAUGAGAUGAAUAAACCAAAUAAUUUUCGGUGCUAGUUCCUCAAAAGGUUUGCUUGAAGUUGAUUUUGUAGAAAGAUUUGACAUAUUUUCUUUAUUAUACUCUUCUCCAAGUUAGCAGUGCUUCUUAUGUUAUCUUCAUAUUGAAUUGUUGCGGGAAUCAUCCUUUUGUAAUAAAAACAACAAGUUUCUUGUAUGCGUUGAAUUACAGGCCUCAUGCCUCGACAAAAGUGCAUUCUAAACUUGCUUGAUGUAGUGCUAAAAUUUUCAUAUGAUUGGAUGAUAUUGUUGUUUCUUUAAGGUAAAUAAUAUGUUUGACUUUGUUCCACUAUUUGUGUUGGCCGAAAAGACUAAAAUAAAAUACUACAUGUAUAACGAGUAAAAUAUAUUAGUGCCCUCAAUUGAAUUAAGAUAUGAUACUUCCAGACCAAUUCAAAUUGUUCAUCAUUUUCUUGAGGCUUGACACAUUAAAUGACAUUGCAUCCAUUUUAGUACACAACAAAUUAGAUUUGUCAAUGUCAAAUAUCAUUUUAUUGAGGCACAAAAUUUUAUUCAAAUUAUAAAUUUGCAAUUCCAAAUAAAUUUUGCGCAUACAGAUAUUUCUUUAAUCUACAAAUUUCAGAAGCUCUUCAGGAGUUCUGUUAAUAUUUACAACAAAUGAUAUUUCUCAACAAAUAUAUUAGUAUUUGAUAUAUGGUACUUCAGGACCAAUCAGUAAUUCACUAUUAAGGAACUUACAACGAUUUCAUAUAGAAUCUAGGAAGCACCGACACUGCUGUUUAGGGGCGUGUCCCGGUGUCGGACACGUGUCGGUGUCGGACACGCGCCGGACACGCGGACGACACGUGUCAGAAUCAUGUGAGAGGUGUCCCCAAAAAAAAAUUUUGAAAGACACGGCUUGGACACGCCUCCGACACGCCUUAGACACGUUAGAAAUUGAAACACGCGUUUUGGAAUGAGAAAGAUGAAAGCCCAAAAUAAACAAAAUUAGUUUUAAAACAUAAAAUCAAAACUCAAACCUAAGGAUAAAAACAAAGAACCCUUUUCUUUGGUUGCCGUCAUCUCCAUCUCUCUUUGUCCAGGUUAGAAUCUGAUUUUCUUCCAUGUAUUUUGCUUUACUUUGAUCUGUUCUGACAAGCUUUUUUCUAUCUUUCUCUUGUAUAUGUCAAUGAAAUCAAGUAGUAGGAGGCAUGUGUAGGAUAAAGCCUUUUUGUUAGUUUGCUUUGUGUUGUGUUUAUCAAUUGCAGAUUUGAUUAUUGCAGACUUAGUUGUAGAUGGUUUUGAUCUUUUGGACCUUCAAAGUAUACCUUGACUUUGAAGUGUGUCGUUUUUUGCUUUUUAGAAAGUAAAACACACUAUAGGUUGUACUUUUGUUAUUAUUUUAUUAUUAUUAUUGUAGUAAUAGAU
This 1726-nucleotide long non-coding RNA is filed under the name Trifolium pratense (red clover). Its description in RNAcentral is "long non-coding RNA (TPRA_LNC007327)". Lineage: Eukaryota; Viridiplantae; Streptophyta; Magnoliopsida; Fabales; Fabaceae. The record is from RNAcentral.